CUUGGUCAUUUAGAGGAAGUAAAAGUCGUAACAAGGUUUCCGUAGGUGAACCUGCGGAAGGAUCAUUACAAGUGAGGCUACCGAACGUUGGAAACAGCGGUUAGGAGCUUACACCUACCCGUGUUUACAUACUAUUGUUGCUUUGGCGGGCCGUGGCCUCCACUGCGGGCUCUGCUCGUGUGUGCCCGCCAGAGAACCAAACUCUGAAUGUCAGUGAUGUCUGAGUACUAUCUAAUAGUUAAAACUUUCAACAACGGAUCUCUUGGUUCUGGCAUCGAUGAAGAACGCAGCGAAAUGCGAUAAGUAAUGUGAAUUGCAGAAUUCAGUGAAUCAUCGAAUCUUUGAACGCACAUUGCGCCCUGUGGUAUUCCGCAGGGCAUGCCUGUUCGAGCGUCAUUUAACCACUCACGCCUAGCGUGGUAUUGGGGCACGCGGUCUCCGCGGCCCUCAAAAUCAGUGGCGGCGCCGGUGGGCUCUAAGCGUAGUACAUACUCCCGCUAUAGAGUUCCCCCCGGUGGCUCGCCAGAACCCCCAAUUUUUUACAGGUUGACCUCGGAUCAGGUAGGGAUACCCGCUGAACUUAAGCAUAUCAAUAAGCGGAGGA
RNAcentral lists this ribosomal RNA (604 nucleotides) under uncultured Phialocephala. RNAcentral's name for it is "eukaryotic LSU rRNA". The stretch from base 243 to 396 matches the Rfam family "5.8S ribosomal RNA". Lineage: Eukaryota; Fungi; Ascomycota; Leotiomycetes; Helotiales. The record is from RNAcentral.